GAUGAAGAACGUAGUAAAAUGCGAUAAGUAAUGUGAAUUGCAGAAUUCAGUGAAUCAUCGAAUCUUUGAACGCACAUUGCGCCCGCCAGUAUUCUGGCGGGCAUGCCGUUCGAGCGUCAUUUCAACCCUCAAGCACAGCUUGGUGUUGGGACUCGCGUUAAUUCGCGUUCCCCAAAUUGAUUGGCGGUCACGUCGAGCUUCCAUAGCGUAGUAGUAAAACCCUCGUUACUGGUAAUCGUCGCGGCCACGCCGUUAAACCCCAACUUCUGAAUGUUGACCUCGGAUCAGGUAGGAAUACCCGCUGAACUUAAGCAUAUCAAUAAGCGGAGGA
RNAcentral lists this unclassified non-coding RNA (331 nucleotides) under soil metagenome. RNAcentral describes it as "partial contains 5.8S ribosomal RNA, internal transcribed spacer 2, and large subunit ribosomal RNA". The stretch from base 1 to 119 matches the Rfam family "5.8S ribosomal RNA", at positions 35 to 154 of the family's 154-position model. The record is from RNAcentral.